GAGCCGUGUGAUGGGAAACUGUCACGCACGGUUUUGUAUGGGAGGGGGUAGAGGCGACUCUACUCUCGACCCCUAC
RNAcentral lists this non-coding RNA (76 nucleotides) under Limnospira indica PCC 8005. The record is from RNAcentral. Lineage: Bacteria; Bacillati; Cyanobacteriota; Cyanophyceae; Oscillatoriales; Sirenicapillariaceae.